Molecule: long non-coding RNA, 171 nt
Filed under: Haliotis rufescens (red abalone)
Lineage: Eukaryota; Metazoa; Mollusca; Gastropoda; Lepetellida; Haliotidae
Description: uncharacterized LOC124116662
Source: RNAcentral
UGAAUAGUAUAACGGACAUCGGGGUUCUUUUUGCAUUUAAGGAGCUCGGGAAUCCUAGGAUUAUUCUUGUUCUUGACGUCGAGAAAACAUACAGUUGGCACCAGUUGACGGGCUUUCUAUCACGCAAGGGAUAUGAAUUCAGCGUCACAGCUGCGAAGGCUUCGCCAAGGA